CAGCCUAAUGGCUUUUCCCUCAUCAAACAUACCCAUUAGAUUCCUCUGCUUCUGCUUUCUUUGGACAACAGACCCAGGAAUUUCCACCAGUACAUACUAAUCUUUCCAAUGGGGACCAUACAAGCACCACAUUAUGCCAAAACAACGGCAUGCAAUUACCUCCGGUCGAUGAAUUCGGCCAAGGUAUUCCAUAGUUUCCAACAUUGUGUGAAGAUGAUCUGCAAAGCAUUGUUCAGAUGGGGUUUGGUCAAGAACCCAAACCACAAUACAGGAUUUCAAUCAUCCCACAUGAAAAUUGAACUGUGGUCACCAUUGAUUUGUCCUCAACUCAAGGCCCAGAGGCUGCUGUAUAUUAAUGGAUUUUUUUUACGA
Camellia sinensis is the source of this 372-nucleotide non-coding RNA. Lineage: Eukaryota; Viridiplantae; Streptophyta; Magnoliopsida; Ericales; Theaceae. The record is from RefSeq and is a predicted model, not a curated record.